This 263-nucleotide ribosomal RNA is filed under the name uncultured archaeon. RNAcentral's name for it is "partial 16S ribosomal RNA". It matches the Rfam family "Archaeal small subunit ribosomal RNA", at positions 717 to 982 of the family's 1478-position model. The record is from RNAcentral.
AGACGUCUACAUUAGAUACCCGUGUAGUCCCAGCCGUAAACUAUGCGCGUUAGGUGUAUCGGUGACCACGAGUUACCGAGGUGCCGAAGGGAAACCGUGAAACGUGCCACCUGGGAAGUACGGCCGCAAGGCUGAAACUUAAAGGAAUUGGCGGGGAGCACCACAACGGGUGGAGCCUGCGGUUAAUUGGACUCAACGCCGGGAAGCUCACCGGAUAAGACAGCGGAAUGAUUGCCGGGCUGAAGACUCUGCAUGACUAGCUG